Molecule: ribosomal RNA, 649 nt
Filed under: uncultured archaeon
Lineage: Archaea
Description: bacterial SSU rRNA
Rfam family: Archaeal small subunit ribosomal RNA
Source: RNAcentral
UUCCGGUUGAUCCCGCCGGACCUGACUGCUAUCGGAUUGAUACUAAGCCAUGCGAGUCAUUGUAGCAAUACAAGGCAGACGGCUCAGUAACGCGUAGUCAACCUAACCUAUGGACGGGAAUAACCUCGGGAAACUGAGAAUAAUGCCCGAUAGAACACUAUACCUGGAAUGGUUUGUGUUCCAAAUGAUUUAUCGCCGUAGGAUGGGACUGCGGUCUAUCAGUUUGUUGGUGAGGUAAUGGCCCACCAAGACUAUUACAGGUACGGGCUCUGAGAGGAGUAGCCCGGAGAUGGGUACUGAGACACGGACCCAGGCCCUAUGGGGCGCAGCAGGCGAGAAAACUUUGCAAUGUGCGAAAGCACGACAAGGUUAAUCCGAGUGAUUUGUGCUAAACGAAUCUUUUGUUAGUCCUAGAACCACUAACGAAUAAGGGGUGGGCAAGUUCUGGUGUCAGCCGCCGCGGUAAAACCAGCACCUCAAGUGGUCAGGAUGAUUAUUGGGCCUAAAGCAUCCGUAGCCGGCUCUGUAAGUUUUCGGUUAAAUCUGUACGCUUAACGUACAGGCUGCCGGGAAUACUGCAGAGCUAGGGAGUGGGAGAGGGAGACGGUACUCGGUAGGAAGGGGUAAAAUCCUUUGAUCUAUUGAUGAC